Molecule: long non-coding RNA, 345 nt
Organism: Scylla paramamosain (green mud crab)
Lineage: Eukaryota; Metazoa; Arthropoda; Malacostraca; Decapoda; Portunidae
Exons: 3
Source: RefSeq, a predicted model, not a curated record
CUUGACUUUGAACCAACAUAAACCACAACAAACAGACGCCAUAUUGGUUGUGUACCCCUUGAUCCUACACGAGACCAAGGGAGAGAGACGAGUUAAAGGAAGAUCUCAAUUUACUACUGAACUACAAAGGGAGCGAGGAAUGUGACAAAAAGGGAGCAGCUCUGUUGAAGAACCAGGACAGGGCAGGGAAGGUGAAUGGCCCAUCUAUAUUCCCUGACCUCUGCACUUCACACCGCAAGAAUUUGAUGCACAUGUUGAAAAACCAUCAAAAGCUGCAAGACAUCAAAAGGAGAUGCAUCAAGGCAAAGGAAGAGCUGUCGGAGAAUUUGCACGUUAGACUGAAGU